Molecule: ribosomal RNA, 433 nt
Filed under: uncultured bacterium
Lineage: Bacteria
Description: partial 16S ribosomal RNA
Rfam family: Bacterial small subunit ribosomal RNA
Source: RNAcentral
AACGAACGCUGGCGGCAUGCCUAACACAUGCAAGUCGAACGAGACCUUCGUGUCUAGUUGCUCACGCGUGCGUCACGCGUGGGAACCUGCCUUUAGGCUCGGAAUACCUCAGUUAAAUUUGAGCUAAUACCGGAUGAUGUCUUCUGACCCAACAUUUAUCGCCGUUAGAUGGGCCGGCGUUGGAUUAGCCAGUUGCUGGGGUAAAGGCCUACCAAGGCGACGAUCCUUAGCUGGUCUGAGAGGAUAAUCAGCAACACUGGGACGGAGACAGGGGCCAGAAACAUACGAGAAGGAGCGGAAGGGAAAAUUAGACAAAGGGCGAAAGCGUAAUACAGCAAUGCGGCGUAAAGGAUGAAGGCCGUAAGGGUGUAAAGCUAGGUUAAUAGAGAGGAGAAUGAAAGGAUCGGGAAGAUAAACCCCGGCUAAAUCCGUG